Molecule: ribosomal RNA, 242 nt
Filed under: uncultured bacterium
Lineage: Bacteria
Description: partial 16S ribosomal RNA
Rfam family: Bacterial small subunit ribosomal RNA
Source: RNAcentral
GCGACCGGCGCACGGGUGAGUAACACGUAUCCAACCUACCCUUUACUCGGGGAUAGCCUUUCGAAAGAAAGAUUAAUACCCGAUAGUAUGUUUUUACCGCAUGGUAAAAACCAUUAAAGAAUUCGGUAAUGGAUGGGGAUGCGUUUCAUUAGAUAGUUGGUGAGGUAACGGCUCACCAAGUCUUCGAUGAAUAGGGGUUCUGAGAGGAAGGUCCCCCACACUGGUACUGAGACACGGACCAG